RNA transcript from Oncorhynchus kisutch (coho salmon), 3500 nucleotides. It is a transcript of the gene named sodium channel subunit beta-1, with no coding region annotated. The transcript has 7 exons. The record is from RefSeq and is a predicted model, not a curated record. Lineage: Eukaryota; Metazoa; Chordata; Actinopteri; Salmoniformes; Salmonidae.
GACUGCUAGGACUUUUCUUGUGAAGGCGAACCUCAUUCAACUAUUGUGGCUAUUCCUUGUGGCUAGCUUCACACAGUUGUCCUGCUCAGCUUCGAAGAUGCUGCAGUCAGAUGCACUGCGGUAAAAAAUAACGCCAGACAGGGAGGGAGAAAGAAGUUUGUAUUAUUCGCAAUGCCAGCCCGUGAGAAAUAUCCAGGGUCCUUUGAUGCGUGGGAUAAUUUUUGCCACUCAAAAGAACAGCGCUUCAUUAAAUAAUUUGUUGAUCCUUCAAAAGGAAAGGAUAGGCUACAUUUUUCCCCGGAGAACGGACAAAUCGGGAUAAGGAGGCUAUUUCUUUCAGAAGGGACAACGUGAGGGCAGUAAAAUGUGAGACAAUGCAAAAUAUGAUUAUUUAAACCAAAUAGUGCAAUAAAACAUUUACAGUGUUCCUAAAAAAAAUAUAGAUAUAUAAUUGGUAUGUAGCUUAUGUAGCCUAGGUCGUCUUUCAUAUGGCAUGCAAUUCAUUAUUAAUGUAGCCUAUUCUGUGGCAUGCGAUUUCACAUUAGCCUAUUUAGCCAGAUUAUUCAAAUAAGCAUAAUAUAUAAACUAAUUUCAAAGCUAUGCCAUCUUUAGUGGUGCACUGCCUUUAUAACCAUGUGAAUAUCAUUUAGAACUAGGCCUAUUAUUCUAAUAGAACAUCAGACUACAGUUGGUAUAAAUAGCCUGUAAAGAUAAUAAUAGCUCAGUGUAAUUGAUAUUAAGACUUCAGGGAACUGAUAAUCCCAGGCCAGUGUGUAGAUUUGUAAACACUUUGUGUCAACAAAGAUCUGGAACAAUAGAAAAAUAUGACCAUAAUCACAGCUAUAGUUUAGCGAUACACUGAGCUCCAAAAGUAUUGGGACAGUGACUCAUUUUUUGGUUGUUUUGGCUUUGUACUCCAGCACUUUGGAUUUGAAAUGAUACAAUGACUAUGAGGUUAAAGUGCAGACUGUCAGGGGUAUUUUCAUCCAUAUCUGUUGACCCGUUUAGGAAUUACAGCAUGUUUUGUACAUAGUCACCCCAUUUUAUGGGAUCUAAAGUAUUGGGACAAAUUCACUUAUAUGUGUAUUAAAGUUGUCAAACAUUUAGUGUUUGGUCCCAUAUUCCUAGCAUGCAAUGAUUACAUCAAGCUUGUGACUUCAGAUUAUUUUGUGUCCAAUAUAAAUGAAUGGUGUGUGUAAAUGUGGAGUCCCUUUUAUUGUAAAUAAGAAUAUAGUAUGUUUUGUAAACCCUUCUACAUUAAUGUGGAUGCUACCGUGAUUACAGAGAAUCCCGAAUAACUAUGUACAAAAAGGGCUAUAAUUAAACGGUUCACCUGAUUUGGAUGAAAAUACCUUCAAAUUAAAGCUGACAGACUGCACUUUAACCUCAUAGUCAUUAUAUAAUUUCAAAUCCAAAGUGCUAGAGUACAGAGCCAAAACAACAACAAAUGUGUGCUUGUUCUUCUGCUUGUUCUCUAGAAGGUCAGUUCUUAGCCUAUUGGCGUUUCAUAGUUUACACUUUAUUAGAGUGAGUAAUCAUCCACUCAAAGGAACAUUAUUUAAUUAAAAUCAACAAGCUCCAGAGUCUUCCUAUAACACUUUAAUUGUAAACAAAUAUUCAUGAUAAUACUUGCAUGUAUCCUCACUGUGCAUGGAAACAGUAGCCUAUGUAACAAAGUCAAUUAAUUAAUGCAAUAGUCUUUGAUGAAAAUAUUUUUUUCCAUUUAAAGAGAAGUGCAUGGCACCAAGAGCAUGGCACCAAGAAGCAUGGCACCAAGAGCAUGGCACCAAGAGCAUAGCACCAAGAGCAUAGCACCAAGAGCAUAAUAGCACCAAGAGCAUAAUAGCACCAAGAGCAUAAUAGCACCAAGAGCAUAAUAGCACCAAGAGCAUAAUAGCACCAAGAGCAUAAUAGCACCAAGAGCAUAAUAGCACCAAGAGCAUAAUAGCACCAAGAGCAUAAUAGCACCAAGAGCAUAAUAGCACCAAGAGCAUAAUAGCACCAAGAGCAUAAUAGCACCAAGAGCAUAAUAGCACCAAGAGCAUAAUAGCACCAAGAGCAUAGCACCAAGAGCAUAGCACCAAGAGCAUAGCACCAAGAGCAUAGCACCAAGAGCAUAGCACCAAGAGCAUAGCACUUGCAAAGCCAGGAUGGUGGGUUCCAUUCCCGGGACCACCAGUGAGUAAAAUGUAAUUUUGGAGGAAGCAACUUCAGUCCCUACCAUUUCUUACUUUGCUCAAACAACGUCUUCCUGGAUAACAUCUCAAAGGAAUAUCUUACAAUCAAGUGUUCAAAGAAGAGCCUUUUUUAGGCUUCUCAGCCCUAGGAUCUGUACUUUCAUUGCUACAUUACACUUAAGGACAUGUCUGCUGUGCGACUGCUGCUCCUGUUUCUGCUUUGUUCCCAUUUUGUUUCCCUGUGCCAUGGGGCCUGUUCAGAGGUGGACUCGGACACUGAGGCCGUUGCAGGCAAAGGGUUCAAACUGGGCUGCAUCUCCUGUAAGAUGAGGCCUGAGGUGGAGGCUUCUGCCACGGUCAACUGGUAUUUCAAGGCCAAAGGGGAAGCUGAAUUUGCUCAUCUCUAUCCUUUGGAUGUUGCCAGAUAUGGGUGGGGAUCUAGGAAGUGAACCGAGAGAUCUUCAGUGCCAGGGGAACAACCCAGAUUUCAUUGUGUCAUUAGAUAUAUAAUUACGAUGAGGAGGGCCCCCACAUUGUGGAUGAGCGCUUUGAGGAGCGCGUCGACUGGAACGGCAGUAAGAGGAGCCAAGACAUACAGGAUGCAUCCAUCUACCUCUUCAAUGUCACCUUCAAUGACUCGGGCACCUACAGUUGCCACUUCCACCGGCUCUUGACGUAUGAGUUCUACGAAUACCAGACUGUUGUCAGCAAGCUUGUGCACCUGAAAGUGGUGGCUAAAGCCACCAGAGGGACAGCCUCCAUAGUCUCUGAGGUGAUGAUGUAUGUGUCCAUCAUCGGGCUACAGGCUUGGCUCUACAUAGAGAUGGUAUACUGCUUCAGAAAGAUCUCAGCUGCAGGAGAGGAAGCAUUAAGAGAAAGCGCGAAUGCAGAAUAUUUAGCUAUAGCCUCAGAGAGUAAAGAUAACUGUGCAGGGGUGCAAGUGGCAGAAUAACCCAGGAAUGCAAAGGGAUUUCAUCUAUGUACUGGCCGCAUCAGCUAUACGACCCCUUGGAUCGCAUGAAGACAUCCUGAAGAUGCACAGUAUCUACACUUUCUGAGUCUUUAUUACUUUUCCUGUUACGUUAAUGGAUGUGAUAUGAUGACAUCAUUACUUUGAAAGUAGCAUGAUAUCAGCACCUCUGUAUGUAUUACACACAAAAGCAUGUAACUAAUUCAUCUAAUGAAUCCUUAUGUGUAUGAAUCCUUCAUCAAGGUAUUUUUUGGGUUGUAUCGAUCUCUCUCUAAAGUGAAUGUACAUUUAUAUUAAGAGUUAUUGUGAGAGAAUUAAUCUGAUUAAAUGGUUAUCAAGAGAGCUUUAUCACA